Trichoplusia ni (cabbage looper) is the source of this 7747-nucleotide long non-coding RNA. RefSeq lists it as uncharacterized. The record is from RefSeq and is a predicted model, not a curated record. NCBI's taxonomy places the organism in Eukaryota, Metazoa, Arthropoda, Insecta, Lepidoptera, Noctuidae. The transcript is spliced from 2 exons.
AGGUCGCGUCAGUCGGGUUUCUGCGCUUGCCGGUGUUGGGUGUGCGUCUUCCUCGACUCUUGAAUUCGUGUCAUAGUUAUUUAAAAUUUUAUAUUUAUUAAUUAAAAUAGCCUUAGCUUUAUUUGAAUUAUUUUUAGACUAUAGUGUAAUCAUUCUUAAGUGUGUCAAUUUUACGUAAAGUGUGUAUUAACCUCUAUUUAAUAAGUGUUUAAAAAUAAGUCGAUCUAUCAUUCCAAAGGCGCGCACCAUGGCCAAAACAGAAAAGUCAUUUCCGAGAAACUUUACAGGUAUGUUAGUUUUUAUCUCGGGUUUAACUUAAAUUAAUUGUUUUUUUUUAUCGUGAUGCUAUACAUUUGAACUUCCAGGAUUAGUCGAGAUUUUCUUACAUUCAGAGCUACUAUCCUUGACGGUAGAAUUAUCAUUACAAUACUUUGCUCAGUCUAACAGGAAAUAGGCAAGUUUGUUUUAAUUUUAUUUUAUUUUAACUCAGUAAACGGAUGUUCAGUCAUCAAAAAUGUUUAUCCGAUACAUCACGGCUACGAAUGUGGGAGAAUAUACUUGGCAACAAUGGCAACAUUUUAUGGCGGCGGUCGUGACGUAGGACGUGUUGGCAAGUCGCCAUUUUAAAAAUAAACGCGCCAAAGUGUCCCCUCUUGUCAGUGCAUAAUCGUAAUUCCGGUUUUCGAUAAGACCUCGAGUUUUGCAUACUGUAAUUUCUAUUUAUUAUCUUUGUCUGUGAUGUCGUCUAGGUUUAAAAUAAAAACAACUUAUUUGAGUUGUUGACAGUCGUUUCUGACAGUUUGCCAAUGGGAAUGCAAUAGAAGUCCGCGUGGUCACUGGAACACAUUUUGACAGCGUCGUCAGUAGAUACUAUUCUAUAUUCUCAAUUCUGUGAUAAGUUGUUUGUUGAUAUACAAGUUUAACAAAGGAGUCUUAAAAUGUACCAUGUGUGUGAGAAAUCCUGUAGCCCAAUGUCUUAUCAAAGGUGUUCGAUUAUUUUUCCCGAACUUACUAAUCAAAAUAAAUGAUAACUUUCCACUUGGUAAUUUUAUCUAUUAAUCUGGUAUACUAUAAAAUAAUCCAUUAAUCUUUAAAUAAUUACUUAAAAGCUUGAGCCAAGUACUUUAUACAUCGCACCAAGCUGACAAGACUUAACGCACCCCUUUCCAAUUAGGGUGAUCAUUCAUCUAAUGUAAAACGGCAACGGAACGACAGCUGUCCGGAGAUUAACUCUUAAUAGUCCCAUUAAGCCCAGCUGAGCAUAACAAUGGCCGUCUUAUCAAAUGAAAGAACUUUGUGUGAUAUUUUUUUAGUUCUAGAAAUUACGGAUUUUUCUGCGGAAUACCAUAGCGAGAUCACUGAUUGGCGCUACUGUUUCGACCACUAAAAAUGAUUUAACUAUGUUCCUUUUUAUGGCUAGUACAAUUUAAGUUUAGUAAAUCUUAAAUUGUUUCUCACGAAUACAUUAAAACCCCUUGUAUUCGGAACUAAUAAAGUUAAUGCUUGUACAAGGUUAAAAACGCUAGAUAACUUUGGAAUGGCCAUAAAAUGCGUACCUAAUUUAAGUCUACAAGAUUUUUUUAUCACCUAUGGCUUGCUUGUUUCGCAGUUUAGUAGGUAUUUAGUAGGUAAUCGAAACAUAAAAAAAACAUGACAUGAAAUCCAAAGACAAGAAAUAUUUAAAGACUAAAUUAUUAUAGUAAAAUUAUUUAUCGCAUUAGCUCCUCUGCUAUAAUGUUACCGACGUAAAUAUUUAAAAUGAAAAGAUAUACGAUGCGGUUUACCGUGUGUUUUUACGUAAUAAAAAUAAGUUUGGCUUAGAGUUUAUCACAGCUUUUGUGCCUUAAUAAAAUACUUGUAAAAUAGUGUUUAAUUUGUAGACAUUAUUAAUUGUUGUCGUCAUCGUCAUAAAUAUUACAUAUUGUUUUGAAAUCCAGCUUCCACUUUCUUUUUCACAUAAGCGUACCGGCUUCAAAUUAAAUCCAGUGAGCCAGAGAAUUGGAUCAAAUAACAGCUAUUUUAUUUUUCAUGUAAAAGAAUCAACAAAAUCUGUCUACCAGUCCAAAGAUGUAAGAGACAUAAAAAAAAAUCAUCAGUACGAUAGAAAGUCUUGCUCUAAAUUAACUUAACCUUGAUAAUUAAAAUCAUAAUUUAAAUUCUAGGCGUACCAGUGACGCAUGAUUUGGCAAGCAAAUAAUUGAUGAGGCAAAAAAAUCUGGCGAAGCGCCGCCGCCAUCAUUUAAAUUACAGUUACAUCUGUCUAUGACAAAACCGGAUAUGCGAGUGUAUUAUUCACCUUGACAUUGUAUCAGAUAUAUUCGUAUCACGAAAUUAGCUUAGUGGAUAAUUGUAUUUUUUUUUGUAAUUCACGGAAGGUUUGAAUCUUGUGCAAAAAAAUAUUUUGUCCUCUUGCACGCGCAAAAUUAUCAGAUAGCUAAAUACAAGUGUUACCCGUCAUCACAGAUAUAAAAGAGACAUAUUUCAACAGCUGGUAGCCUUCUUCAUCGAUCGAAUCAUAUUCAUGAAUCCUUCUGCAUUUAGGCAGUGACAGCUACUGGUAUUAUAUUUUUAAUUGUUCCAUCUCAGUUCUGUUUACACACCAUCGGCAGUCCAUUUAACAAUGGAUCUUCACGUACGCAAUACUAAAUAUUUUCAAAAAGAAUAUCUCAUAUAAAACCUUUGUUACAUUAUUAAACAAAAUGCAGUGGCCAUCAUACAAUGAGAUUGUUUAUCAUCAUUAUGUUAUACACAACCUUAUAAAAUGAGCUUAAACGACAUGGCACUGCAAUACUGUCAAAUUAUUUAUUUGAAAUGGUUUUUUACGCGUAUUUACAGAAACAGGUUUUGAUUAUAUUCAGGAAAAAAAAACUGUAUCAUUAAGAUGUUUUUUUUUUUUCCUAAAAAAACAGUUCUACUGCCGAUGGGUAAAGGCAAAACAAUUCAAAUAAAUACAAUGUCAAUCUUCAUAACUAUUUCGUUAAUUACUUAUGAACGAAAUUCCAUUAUAAGUUAUCCGGAAAUCAUCUUUAAGCGCCGGUUUUAACUUCCAUCUCUAGACAAACGAUGAGCUACGAUUAUGUGUCGAACGGUAAGUAAAGUGCGUACUAAUACCGGCUGGCUAAUUGCAGACAACGUGAAGUGUGUAACGGGACUCACUGUCAAGUAAAUACCUAUUACCUGCAGUGUACUCGAGUACCAUAUCAGAUAUUACGUGAUAACAGAUUGUUUAUAACAAUCGUUUUCAUCAACGGAAAUCUUUUACCAUGCCACUUCAGAUGAUUGCAAUUUCUACGAUCGUUAACCGAGAAAGAAUUAGUUGAAUGUGUAGUGCUUGAAGUUGUCCUAAGUAUUGUGAUAUGGCGAAAAUUAAUGUCACUUUUAUCAUUAACGCUUGAAAAAACGUUCAAUCUAUAUGGUCUUGUGUGACAAGAGCUUUCUUAAAUUUCGUAAAUGAUUGAUUGAUUUCGCCACGAACAUAAAAAAAUACUAAAUUAAAUUUAGUACGUAUCCUGUUCCAGAUUUCCAAGCAGUUGUGAGUAGAUAGAUGUAGGUACUUAGUUCCUAUUAGCACAUUAUGAACGCAAUAUGAUGCAUAUACUAAGAAGUUUUACACCAUGUCUAGAUAUUGAAUAAAAAGAGGAAAUUCUUAAAAAAAAACGAUGCUUGUUCAACAUUGUACUUAUUUGUUUCUAGUAAUAAUUAGACUAAUGCUCUCGUAACAUUUUAUUACUGCAAAAGACUGCAUAAUUACAGCAAUUUGAAACCGUAAAAUCCCUGUAAAGAUGCUAUCUGUAUGACGCCAGUAGAAUAGCUCCUACCAUUAACGUUGUCCGUCACGAUUCUACAGAAAAAUCGUGUCCAUGUUAUAAAAGCUUAGUCAGUGUUGCAAAUUAAAAAAAUAGGAAUAUAUUUUUAAAGUUCUAUUGCUUUAUCCGGUAAAACCUGCUUUUUAUCACCGAUAUAUAAUACAUAAGAUUAUAAUUUCGGUGUGAAUUGUAAUCGUAAUUUUGUGGUUAAUUUUCAGCCUCAAAUAGUUAGAUUUUUUGUUACGUGGUAAUCUUUAAUAUCGAUAUGGAACCGAUUAAAGUUAUUAAGUUCUAAAAAUAAUGGAGAAGGUCAACGGUUCUUAACUUACUAAUACCGUGUUAAGUCGGUCAAAGACCUGGAGUCUCACCUGAACCCGGAUAUUAUGAUCUAAGUAUUUUACUUUUUUUUACUAUAGUCUAGAAUCUAGGGAAAUUCUUAAACCCGUUAAAACUUGUUAAACCUGUACGAUUAUUUGUGAAUUCGUAAAGGCAUGUUGACCGUCAAUCAAUCGAUAAAAAACUACAAAUUGCGUCCUUAAUUAAGUUAUACAAUUAAAACUAUGAUACCUACUCUUAACGCACGUCAUUUCAAAUCUGCAUCGUUGAGAACGAAGCUUAGCCAUCCGUGACUGCCAUGGCGCCAGUUAUUUUUUAACCACAUAAUUUAUUAUUCUAUUAGUCAAAAAUUCUUUAUGUACAAGAAUGGAAUUCAAUCUGAACGGGGUACCGCCAGUCGAUAAUAACACCUCCUGCAUUUUCAAGCUUUCAAGUCAAUUUUCGCACUUAGUCAUUACUGUGGCCAAGAAUGUCCAUUAUACUUUAAGAUUUAAGAGUAAGACUAGUGCUUACGUGAAAGAAAGACACCGAUAUACGUAGGCGAAUCCUCCCGAAAGUACAGGCACACUUUACACAAAUCAACCGGUAUUCCUUAGUACCAGACAUCCAUUGACAAUAUUUGCUCGAGCUCUAACUAAAUAUAAUUUAUUGUUUGUUUCUCAUAUGCACGUAGGUGGUGCUAUUUUCGAAAAUGUCAAACAAUUUAUUUAAGGUUUUGGUCGUGGCACACUUAUUUCGAUCUUGGAAAUAUUAUGCGGGUUUAAGGGGAAGCUAAAGAUGAAAAUCCAAGGCCUUUAAAAAUAAAUUUUAUUGCUUGCAAAUUUUCAAUCAUUGAAUUGGAAAAUCCACAAAUAAAAAAACUAUUUGUACAGAACCCUUAGUACCGAGAGUCCGCCUCGCACUUAAAAUUUUAUUUAUUGCACAUCCACAUGUCAAUCUCCCAAUAACCCUCAUCAAGCCGGGUGAUAAACCCCAGUUCCAAUGACUCUCAAACAAGUUGUAACGGAUUUACAUACUAUAGUGACAAGCUUAUUUACUAUGACUUAAAUACGACUGUCCCUUGUGAAAGCGAGACGGCACUAUGCGCUAUGUUAAGCGUUGUCCCGCUCCUACAAAGGCUUGCUGUACCACCUAUAGAUCAUAGUACAGGCCACCGGUUUUGUUUCUGUUGCCAACACAUGACGUAUAGUCAUGUGACGUUAAGUUAAAACAGACAUAUUCAAUAUUUGUACAGUUAAACUUAUAUUUAACUGGUCAUGUGACCGGAACAACUGUCGUUAAAUAUGAGCAAGAAUUGUAUAAUUUUUGGCAUAUUUACAACUCUUUGUUACAGGAAAAUAAUGGAUUUAAUUAAUUAUUGGUCACUGACUCGCUUUUAAACUAAAAUUAUAGUCGCAAGACUCAAAUUAGCUUUUUAACUUUUUUUGUAUUGAGGUGACCAAUGUUUUUCUUGGUGUGGUGUCUAUUCUUUAUUCCUAUAAAAUUAUAAUUGCGGAGUCCUCAAUUUCUCUUGUGUUCCCAUAUGGGCUCAACAAAAAAAUAAUAAGGUCUUGUUAAUUACGGCAAAGGCCACGUCUUACAUAGGAAAUAAAAAUGGCAAUGCAAUAAAAUCAAAACUAGAUAUUAACUCAACUACAAGCGACAUAUAAAGUCCGCAAUGUCUGGAUUAAUAGAAGCGGUAACAGGAAAACAGUAUUUCAGUAGGUAGUCGGUACCUAACUGUAUUUCAGUACUUACUUAAGUUUCAAAGCAGUAAUUAUUUUUGUUCCGAAAUUAGCAUACGGCAAAUUGCCACACGUGGUUUUGACAGUUAGACAUCAUUUGCCUAAUGUUACGCGAAACUGGGUUAUUUAAGACUAAGAGGCGGGAAGACGGGAAGCGAGAUAGAAAUACCUGGCGUAGAGCAGUGUCUCACUUGGUUUUUAUUUAGGCUCCCUAAAACUAUAAGAAUUAGAGUAGAAAUUACUAGUUUUAAGCCCAAUCGAGGUCCAUGGUCAUGACCCCAUAUUAAUUAUAAAUAAUCUGCCUGUAAUGUGUGACGUGAUGUGACUCACCAUGGAUUGAACUAUGGCUCAAACUUCAAAUAAAACUGUAAUGCUAAAAGUAAAUGAAUGACGUCAUCUCUCACAUAUCGGAAGUGCAUGGCCACUUCUAUCAUGCAUGACGUAGUACUAUCAGUACAGAUUCAGUAUAUAGACGGAACUACGUGAUAAUAAGAAUAGCUUAGUAAUAGCUCUAUUGUAAGUGCACAUAUAGGAUUGGUAAAUGGUUAUGUCCCUGAUCGAAACUGACAUGCAUUACGUCAUAAAAUUGUGACGUCAUAUUAAGCCAGUGCAACGUUUUAGAAUCACCUAGCACGACGAUCUGUAACUAUUGUUAUAUACUACCACACAAAUUGCUACUUUUUAUCAGAAUGACAUUUCUCAGGAAUUCCCUCUUAUCGACUUUGGGCUAUGGUUCAACCAUAGUUCAUUGAUAUCUGUUUUAUUAACACACAUUAAUUCUACAAAGAUUUUUAAGAUCAGAAUCAUAGCACCCGUCGAUCACGAGUACAAAAGAUCCUAAUGAGUCAGAGUAAGUAGGCCCGACGUAUUGCCUAUCACAUCCUACUACUAACACCAUUAUACAUAUCACAAAUAAGGUUCGUUACUAAAAAGUGAAAGUAUUCUAUUCUAAGCCUUGCAGACUUAACAUUGUGGGUGGAUGAAAGUCGCCAGUCUUACUUUAAAUUAACAUUGUCAUUAAUGAUUGAUGAACUCUUAAAGAGUCGGCUAAGACUCUGAGGACACCAGUGGUGAUUAUUUAAUGAAACUUGAAAAUAGACCUUAAAACUUUACGUAUAAAGAGUAAAAAUGCUUGACUAAUGUUCUUCGAGAUCGCACUUACAUUUCACAAUUCCUAGUCAAAAGUGUGUGUUUUGUACUUUAUGGUAAUAAAUUUUAAAUAUAUUUUAAAGUGCCAUUCAAAAUUAUUUUCCUUGGCUGAGAUCUUCUCCCGUCGCGUCAACUUUAGAGGAGUCUGUAGGCUGGCAAUGAAUGUAACUUUCGCGCAAUAAUUUGAGAAAUAAAACGUAUUUUCAAAUCUUUUAGUGCUGAAAUACACACUUAUAGCAAUAACAUGUAGUAAAAACAAAUUAAAUGUUGUGUUUAUGUAGUUUUUAUUACGCUUAUUUGCCGUUUUAUUGCUUUAAUAUUCACUACAUUCGUGCCUGGAUUCUUCUUAAAAUAUUUAUAAAUGAGAAAUGUGUAUGUUAUUUAUCUUCUCAUGCACAAAAUAUCUACAAAUAUACUUCUGUAAAAAAAGUAUCCCUAUGUUAUCUCAAAAUCCUCAAAGAAUUAAGUUCUAUAUUCACAUGUAAGUGACAUAAACAGUAAUUAUAACAUAAAAAGAUACGUAGACAUAAUCGUGCUGUUAAUAACAAUUACAUAAGAUGCUGUGAUAUACAGUUAUUCGGCGAGACUCGUAAGCUUUCUCCGACGCAAAUUUUGCACCGCUAGCUAUUUUAGUGUUAUGCGCACAUGGUUUACACGCGUUGCCAAUUUUUUUUAGGAUACCGUCUGGUAGUGAAAUGACGAAACUGAACUGAACGAAACUGGCCGACAAUA